GACGAACGCUGGCGGCGUGCUUAACACAUGCAAGUCGAACGGAAAGGCCCUGCUUUUGUGGGGUGCUCGAGUGGCGAACGGGUGAGUAACACGUGAGUAACCUGCCCUUGACUUUGGGAUAACUUCAGGAAACUGGGGCUAAUACCGGAUAGGAGCUCCUGCUGCAUGGUGGUGGUUGGAAAGUUUCGGCGGUUGGGGAUGGACUCGCGGCUUAUCAGCUUGUUGGUGGGGUAGUGGCUUACCAAGGGUUUGACGGGUAGCCGGACUGAGAGGGUUACCGGGGAAAUUGGGAAUGAGAUACGGACCAGACUCCUACGGGAGGAAGAAGUGGGGAAUAUUGCAAAAUGGGCGGAAGCCUGAUGAAGCAACGCCGCGUGCGGGAUGACGGCCUUCGGGUUGUAAACCGCUUUCGCCUGUGACGAAGCGUGAGUGACGGUAAUGGGUAAAGAAGCACCGGCUAACUACGUG
RNAcentral lists this ribosomal RNA (468 nucleotides) under uncultured bacterium. Its description in RNAcentral is "partial 16S ribosomal RNA". It matches the Rfam family "Bacterial small subunit ribosomal RNA", at positions 28 to 507 of the family's 1533-position model. The record is from RNAcentral.